Molecule: non-coding RNA, 239 nt
Organism: Pelobates cultripes (western spadefoot toad)
Lineage: Eukaryota; Metazoa; Chordata; Amphibia; Anura; Pelobatidae
Source: the annotation of a GenBank genome assembly
UGGGUUAAGUCCAUUCGUGAGUUUAAAACUCCCGAACGGCCGGUGUUCGUAUGGCCGUCGCCUCGUGGUCGACAUACGAAUGACGACCACCCUGUAUUCGGUUUUAAUUGAGAAGUGUCUGCGGUUAACCACAACGUUCUAAUUGGGAUCAAGAGGUUAACUAGCAGCACACUUCUCUUCUGGGUGGCUGUCCGUUCGGUAGUUUGUUCGGCAAAAAACGUCCAUUAUACGAACAGAGG